UGGAAAGCUCCGAAAGAACCUCUAGGAAAGAGAAUCGCCAACUUGGUCAUGUGACUAGCUAUGCCGCGAUUGGCUGGCAUCAAUAUGUGCAGAUUUUGACAUGCGACGCCAGUGCAUUGACAGAUGUUGGUGGAUCAUGAGGCACCAUGCCAUCAAGUUGCACUGCAUACAAUUGUUCAAACAGAAGUGAUCAAGGCUAUGCAUUGGUAAGAUAUCCGCAUGAUGAAAGUUUAAAGAGAAAAUAGAUUGCUACAGUUGGAAGAAGCAAGAACUGGUCACCUAGUAGUUCUCAAAAACUUUGCGAGAUACAUUUUAAGCCAUCAGAAAUCGAAUUUGUUGCUAGACGCAAACGUGUAAAGUUUGAUGCAAUUCCAUCUCGUUUUUGUACGUGUUCUUCAAAAGAUCAAGAAAACUGUCGUAGAAAAUUAAGAAAAAUCUCGAAAAAUGAGAAUGGUUCUUAUCAGUGUCAAACUUUUGCUGACAAACACAAUGAUUGUUGCAUCGCUGUGCAACCUCUUAUCAAGACUAAUGAAAUAUUGGAUAAACCAGAGGAAUUCAUUGAAGAAAUACGCGGAGAGAAUGAUGUUGAGGAAAAUUGUUUCCUUUCUUCAACAAAUAUUGGACAAUAGAAAACAAUGAUCUUGUAAUUGUGGCAUAUAUAAAUUGAAAAAAUCUCUCUUUGUUAAAAACAGGUUUUAAGUACUUCCAACUACAUAAAGUAAAUAAAAAGAACUUAUCAUU
Molecule: long non-coding RNA, 741 nt
Organism: Pseudomyrmex gracilis
Lineage: Eukaryota; Metazoa; Arthropoda; Insecta; Hymenoptera; Formicidae
Exons: 3
Source: RefSeq, a predicted model, not a curated record